RNAcentral lists this ribosomal RNA (253 nucleotides) under uncultured bacterium. Its description in RNAcentral is "partial 16S ribosomal RNA". It matches the Rfam family "Bacterial small subunit ribosomal RNA", at positions 524 to 776 of the family's 1533-position model. The record is from RNAcentral.
UACGGAGGGUGCAAGCGUUGUCCGGAUUUAUUGGGCUUAAAGGGUGCGUAGGUGGCUUAUUACGUCAGUGUUUAAAGUCUGCAGCUUAACUGUAGGUAUGGCAUUGAUACUGAUAGGCUUGAGUAAAGUUGAGGUAGGCGGAAUUGAAGGUGUAGCGGUGAAAUGCAUAGAUAUCUUCAAGAACACCGAUUGCGAAGGCAGCUUACUAAGCUUUAACUGACACUGAGGCACGAAAGCGUGGGGAUCAAACAGG